Molecule: RNA transcript, 2830 nt
Organism: Rhinopithecus roxellana (golden snub-nosed monkey)
Lineage: Eukaryota; Metazoa; Chordata; Mammalia; Primates; Cercopithecidae
Gene: NOC2L
Gene name: NOC2 like nucleolar associated transcriptional repressor
Exons: 19
Source: RefSeq, a predicted model, not a curated record
GGAAGUGCGCCGCAGCGCGGCAUUCUGGGGCCGGAAGUAGGGCGCAUGCUGUGGACUGGUGUCAUGGCAGCUCCCCGGAGCCGCAAGAGGCGCCUGGCGGAGCUGACGGUGGACGAGUUCCUAGCUUCGGGCUUUGACUCCGAGUCCGAAUCCGAGUCCGAAAACUCCCCGGAAGCGGACACGCGGGAGGCACGCGAGGCUGCCCGGAGUCCGGAUGAGCCGGGCGGGAGCCCCUCGGCCAGCCGGCGUAAAGGCCGUGCCUCUGAGCACAAGGACCAGCUGUCUCGGCUGAAGGACAGAGACCCCGAGUUCUACAAGUUCCUGCAGGAGAAUGACCAGAGCCUGCUAAACUUCAGUGACUCAGACAGCUCUGAGGAGGAGGAGGAGCCGUUCCACUCCCUGCCAGAUGUGCUGGAGGAAGCCAGUGAGGAGGAGGAUGGAGCAGAGGAGGGGGAAGAUGGGGACAGAGUCCCCAGAGGGCUGAAGGGGAAGAAGAAUUGUGUUCCUGUGACCCUCGCCAUGGUUGACAGAUGGAAGCAGGCAGCAAAGCAACGCCUCACGCCAAAGCUGUUCCAUGAAGUGGUACAGGCGUUCCGAGCAGCUGUGGCCACCACCCAAGGGGACCGGGAAAGUGCUGAGGCCAACAAAUUCCAGGUCACGGACAGUGCUGUGUUCAAUGCUCUGGUCACCUUCUGCAUCAGAGACCUUAUUGGCUGUCUCCAGAAGCUGCUGUUUGGAAAGGCGGCAAAGGACAGCAGCAGGAUGCUGCAGCCGUCCAGCAGCCCGCUCUGGGGGAAGCUCCGUGUGGACUUCAAGGCGUACCUGGGCUCGGUCAUACAGCUGGUGUCCUGUCUAGCGGAGAUGACGGUGUUGGCGGCCGUGCUGCAGCACAUCAGUGUGCUGGUGCCCUGCUUCCUGACCUUCCCCAAGCAGUGCCGCAUGCUGCUCAAGAGAAUGGUGGUCGUAUGGAGCACUGGGGAGGAGUCCCUGCGGGUGCUGGCUUUCCUGGUCCUCAGUAGAGUCUGCCGGCACAAGAAGGCCACUUUCCUCGGCCCCGUCCUCAAGCAAAUGUACAUCACGUACGUGAGGAACUGCAAGUUCACCUCGCCUGGUGCCCUCCCCUUCAUCAGUUUCAUGCAGCGGACCCUGACAGAGCUGCUGGCCCUGGAGCCGGGUGUGGCCUACCAGCACGCCUUCCUCUACGUCCGCCAGCUCGCCAUACACCUGCGCAACGCCAUGACCACCCGUAAGAAGGAAACGUACCAAUCUGUGUACAACUGGCAGUACGUGCACUGCCUCUACCUAUGGUGCCGGGUCCUGAGCACUCUGGGCCCCAGCGAAGCUCUCCAGCCCUUGGUCUACCCCCUUGCCCAGGUCAUCAUUGGCUGUAUCAAGCUCAUCCCCACUGCCCGCUUCUACCCACUGCGAAUGCACUGCAUCCGUGCCCUGACGCUGCUAUCAGGGAGCUCGGGGGCCUUCAUCCCAGUGCUGCCUUUCAUCCUGGAGAUGUUCCAGCAGGUCGACUUCAACAAGAAGCCGGGGCGCAUGAGCUCCAAGCCCAUCAACUUCUCUGUGAUCCUGAAGCUGUCCAAUGUCAACCUGCAGGAGAAGGCCUACCGGGACGGCCUGGUGGAGCAGCUGUAUGACCUCACCCUGGAGUACCUGCACAGUCAGGCACACUGCAUCGGCUUCCCGGAGCUGGCGCUGCCUGUGGUCCUGCAGCUGAAGUCCUUCCUCCGGGAGUGCAAGGUGGCCAACUACUGCCGGCAGGUGCAGCAGCUGCUUGGGAAGGUUCAGGAGAACUCGGAGCACAUCUGCAGCCGCCGCCAGAGGGUUUCCUUUGGCGUGUCUGACCAGCAGGCAGUGGAAGCCUGGGAGAAGCUGACCCGGGAAGAGGGGACCCCCCUGACCUGGUACUACAGCCACUGGCGCAAGCUGCGUGACCGGGAGAUCCAGCUGGAGAUCAGUGGCAAAGAGCGGAUGGAAGACCUGAACUUCCCUGAGAUCAAACGAAGGAAGGUGGCUGACAGGAAGGAUGAGGACAGGAAGGAAUUUAAAGAUCUCUUUGACCUGAACAGCUCUGAAGAGGACGACACCGAGGGCUUCUCAGGAGAGAGGGAUACUGGGGCCCCUGAGCACUCCGCAUGGGGUGGAAGAGGAUGAGGACGACGAGAGGCUGGGGCCCCUGAGCACUCAGCAUGGAGCGGAAGAGGAUGAGGAUGCCUCUGAGGGUGAAUGGUCUUGGGAUGGAGACCCAGACGCAGAGGUGGGGCUGGCCCCUGGGGAGCUGCAGCAGCUGGCCCAGGGGCCGGAGGACGAGCUGGAGGCUCUGCAGCUCUCAGAAGAGGACUAAGGCAGCCCAUCUGGGGGCCUGUGGGGGUUGCCGUGCUGGUGGCCAAUGUUCCCACCUCUCUGGCAGUCAGGCCCAGAGGCUGGCGUCUCUGCAGCUGGGGGAGGCAGUAGACAGGGUACAGGCUCUAUUUAUUUUUCAGCAUGGAAGACCAAACGUACUGAGAGCUGCGCUGGGCUGGCGUGGCUGCUGAAGCCCCACAGCUCUGGACUGAAGUCAGCUCCGCAGGGGAGAUGACCCUGCUGUCAGGAGACUAGACCAAUCCUGGUUCCAGGGGGAGGCCUGCAGACCCCUGGCCCCUUCCACCCCUUCCACCACCUCUGCCCUCCAUCUGCACACCUCGUCCGCACCAGGCUCUACAGUUACUCCCCCAAGUCUUUGGAAAUUGCUUCCUUUUCUUUGAAGUCACAUUUUCCUUCAAAAUUUUUUGUUUUGCAUCCAAAACCAAAAGAAAUAAAGCUGUGGGAGGCAGGGCCAUUG